This 465-nucleotide ribosomal RNA is filed under the name uncultured bacterium. RNAcentral's name for it is "partial 16S ribosomal RNA". It matches the Rfam family "Bacterial small subunit ribosomal RNA", at positions 28 to 507 of the family's 1533-position model. The record is from RNAcentral.
GACGAACGCUGGCGGCGUGCUUAACACAUGCAAGUCGUACGGUAAGGCCCUUUCGGGGGUCCACGAGUGGCGAACGGGUGAGUAACACGUGCGUAACCUGCCCACAACUUUGGGAUAACGCUAGGAAACUGGUGCUAAUACUGGAUAUGUGCUCCUGCUGCAUGGUGGGGGUUGGAAAGCUCCGGCGGUUGUGGAUGGACUCGCGGCCUAUCAGCUUGCUGGUGGGGUAGUGGCCUACCAAGGCGGCGACGGGUAGCCGGCCUGAGAGGGUGACCGGCCACAUUGGGACUGAGAUACGGCCCAGACUCCUACGGGAGGCAGCAGGGGGGAAUAUUGCACAAGGGGCGCAAGCCUGAUGCAGCAACGCCGCGUGCGGGAGGACGGCCUUCGGGUUGAAAACCGCUUUCAGCAGGGACGAAGCUUUUUGUGACGGUACCUGCAGAAGAAGCACCGGCUAACUACGUG